UACGGAGGGGGCUAGCGUUGUUCGGAUUUACUGGGCGUAAAGCGCACGUAGGCGGUUUGUUAAGUCAGGGGUGAAAUCCCGGAGCUCAACUCCGGAACUGCCUUUGAUACUGGCAAGCUAGAGUCCGGAAGAGGUAAGUGGAACUCCUAGUGUAGAGGUGGAAUUCGUAGAUAUUUAGGAGGAACACCAGUGGCGAAGGCGUCUAUCUGGUUCAAGUCUGACGCUGAGGCGCGAAGGCGUGGGGGAGCAAACAGG
RNAcentral lists this ribosomal RNA (255 nucleotides) under uncultured bacterium. Its description in RNAcentral is "partial 16S ribosomal RNA". It matches the Rfam family "Bacterial small subunit ribosomal RNA", at positions 524 to 776 of the family's 1533-position model. The record is from RNAcentral.